CCCUUAGAUGUCCGGGGCUGCACGCGCGCUACACUGAAGGAAUCAGCGUGCUAGAACCAUUGUCGAAAGGCAUUGGUAAACCCAUUAAAAUCCUACGUGAUUGGGAUCGGGAAUUGCAAUUAUUUCCCUUGAACGAGGAAUUCCCAGUAAGUGUGGGUCAUAAGCUCGCGUUGAUUACGUCCCUGCCCUUUGUACACACCGCCCGUCGCUGCCCGGGACUGAGCCGUUUCGAGAAAAGCGGGGACUGCUGCUGUCGGGGCUUUCGGGCCUUGGCUUCGGUGGAAACCGCUUUAAUCGCAGUGGCUUGAACCGGGCAAAAGUCGUAACA
This 328-nucleotide ribosomal RNA is filed under the name uncultured eukaryote. RNAcentral's name for it is "partial 18S ribosomal RNA". It matches the Rfam family "Eukaryotic small subunit ribosomal RNA", at positions 1470 to 1796 of the family's 1831-position model. The record is from RNAcentral.